This 482-nucleotide ribosomal RNA is filed under the name uncultured bacterium. RNAcentral describes it as "partial 16S ribosomal RNA". It matches the Rfam family "Bacterial small subunit ribosomal RNA", at positions 355 to 826 of the family's 1533-position model. The record is from RNAcentral.
UGGGGAAUAUUGCACAAUGGGCGCAAGCCUGAUGCAGCCAUGCCGCGUGUGUGAAGAAGGCCUUCGGGUUGUAAAGCACUUUCAGCGAGGAGGAAGGUGGUGAGCUUAAUACGCUCAUCAAUUGACGUUACUCGCAGAAGAAGCACCGGCUAACUCCGUGCCAGCAGCCGCGGUAAUACGGAGGAUGCAAGCGUUAAUCGGAAUUACUGGGCGUAAAGCGCACGCAGGCGGUUUGUUAAGUCAGAUGUGAAAUCCCCGGGGCUCAACCUGGGAACUGCAUUUGAAACUGGCAAGCUAGAGUCUCGUAGAGGGGGGCUAGAAUUCCAGGUGUAGCGGUGAAAUGCGUAGAGAUCUGGAGGAAUACCGGUGGCGAAGGCGGCCCCCUGGACGAAGACUGACGCUCAGGUGCGAAAGCGUGGGGCAGCAAACAGGAUUAGAUACCCUGGUAGUCCACGCUGUAAACGAUGUCGAUUUUGGAGGUU